GCCAGCCAGCGGGGCCGCGCUGCCCCUCGGACAGAAAAGGGGAGCCGUGUGCGUGGCCCGAGCGAUUCCGCCCCCCGGCGCCCAGACACGGGCUCGUCUUUCCGCUGGGCGGGGGAGGGCGGGAGCCGCCGCUGCCCGGGGUGGGGGGAAGACAGCGGCUUCGGUGUAGAAAAAUUACAGUGCAAAAGCUCCUGCCAUCUAAGAUCCAUUAUUUAAGAAGUUAUAUGUCGACAGAGAUGAUACUACAAACUAAUCGGGUCAUUUUCUUGCUGAAAGACUGGGAGCCCUUUAGAGCGUAAAGAACCAAAACUCUGAUUCAGCCAAUACAAGGCCCCAACUCCAGGAAACUUCAAACAUGCCAAUGGACGGCAGCCCGAGGAGCGACACGUUUUGUGAAUUCCCAUUGCGGUACUGCCCCGUCUCAGCAGUGCAUGGUUCGCCUGAAGCAUCGCUGACCACCCCACCUGAGCAGUGGUUUCAUAACAUCAUG
Molecule: long non-coding RNA, 490 nt
Filed under: Dromaius novaehollandiae (emu)
Lineage: Eukaryota; Metazoa; Chordata; Aves; Casuariiformes; Dromaiidae
Description: lncRNA (ENSDNVG00000003487.1)
Source: RNAcentral